GGGGGGAAGGGGCGGAGCCUCCCGGCCAGGGGGUGCUGGCGGCUGACAGAAAGAGCCGGGGCAGCGGGCGGGGGUGGCGACGCUGCGGGCCGGGCAGGGGGCCAGGCGUGGCGGGAGGAGCGCGCGCAGACACGGGACGCUGACAGGCGGGGAGACACACACACACGGGGGCUGACAGCCGCGGGGGCAUACGGGGUCGGAGGGCCGAGGCUGGCGCUCACCUGGCAGCGGUGGCGGCGGCGGCGCCCGCGGCCGGGCCGCUCUCCGCGCGCUCCAGGCCUCCCUCCCGGCUGGCGAGCGACCGGCUGGCCGGCCGGCGCAGACCGCGCGGAGGCGGAGGCGGCGGCGACGCCGGAGCCGCGGACGGCUGGGCGGCGGGGACGCAGCUGCACCAACCGACUCCGGGCCGCUCGGCUCGGCCCGGCCGCACUCGGAGGCGCUCGGCUCCGCUCGGCCCCUCUCGGCUCGGCUGGGGGCGUGGCCCGAGGCCCCCCGCCCAGGUCGCCUCUGGCGCCUGGAGGGGCGGGGCUUUCGUGCGGGCGCAAGCCCCCUGACGUCGCAGAGAGGACCUUACCCUGGGCGCAUGCGCGGGCGUCGCUCCCGCUUUUCUCGGCGCGGAGGCUGAGCCCGGCAGGGAAGGAGGGGGGACCGGGGGCGGAUGCUCCAUCACCGGAGGUUCCUGGCUUUUGUACUCCGUGUCCUGGGCUUUCUAGAGAACCACCAAAGAAAGGCCACGCCAGGCUGCACUUUCAAAAGGAUGCUAGCUGGAUUGGGAACCCUGAUCCUUGCCCCGCCGCUCUCUUCUCAGUCCAGUAUUUCCCAACAAGCAUCGCCUGGGAGUUAGUUUUCCUUUUAUCCCACAAAAACUUUACCGCAGUUUUUUUUCUCUCCUCUGUUUCUUAACAAGAAGGACGACUUCUGAUGACUGCUUUCCGUUAAAUCUUCAAUUGAGAACUUUCAAGCACAUCAGUUAGCCCCCUCAGCCACAGCCAUAGACCACGCUUGAGGAGGUGACAGCUCCAUCAGUCCGGGUCCUGGAGUGAGAAAACACAGCAUAAUGACCCAAGCAGACAUACAGUAUAAGCAAGAAACAAACCUUUGCUGUUUGAAAAGCAAGGCCAGGGCUUGUGUGUUACCAAAGCAAAACCUAGCCUAUCCUGACAGAUGCACCUUCCUAACAUCCAGUAU
This is a long non-coding RNA of Bos taurus (domestic cattle), 1188 nucleotides long. NCBI's taxonomy places the organism in Eukaryota, Metazoa, Chordata, Mammalia, Artiodactyla, Bovidae. The record is from Ensembl.